RNAcentral lists this ribosomal RNA (502 nucleotides) under uncultured bacterium. RNAcentral describes it as "bacterial SSU rRNA". It matches the Rfam family "Bacterial small subunit ribosomal RNA", at positions 32 to 507 of the family's 1533-position model. The record is from RNAcentral.
AAACGCUGGCGGCGUGCCUAACACAUGCAAGUCGAACGAGAAAGUCGGUUUCGGCCGAUGAGUAAAGUGGCGCACGGGUGAGUAACGCGUGGAUAAUCUACCCUUUAGUCCGGAAUAACUUGCCGAAAGGUGAACUAAUACCGGAUGACAUCCCGGGUUCUCCGGAAACCGGGAUCAAAGAAGGCCUCUGCUUGCAAGCUUUUGCUGAAGGAUGAGUCCGCGUACCAUUAGCUAGUUGGUGGGGUAAUGGCCUACCAAGGUUAUGAUGGUUAGCUGGUCUGAGAGGAUGAUCAGCCACACUGGAACUGAAACACGGUCCAGACUCCUACGGGAGGCAGCAGUGAGGAAUAUUGCGCAAUGGGGGCAACCCUGACGCAGCAACGCCGCGUGAGUGAGGAAGGUUUUCGGAUUGUAAAGCUCUGUCGAGCGGAAAGAAAUGCACGAUGGCUAAUAUCCAUCAUGCUUGACGGUACCGCUAGAGGAAGCACCGGCUAACUCCGUG